Molecule: ribosomal RNA, 117 nt
Filed under: Acanthosepion pharaonis
Lineage: Eukaryota; Metazoa; Mollusca; Cephalopoda; Sepiida; Sepiidae
Source: RNAcentral
UUACGGUCAAAUCACGCUUGAAAACGCCGGGUUCUCGUUCGAUCACCAAAGUUAAGCAUCGUAGAGCCAGGUCAGUACUUAGAUGGGGGACAGCUUGGGAACACCUGGUACUGUAAG